AGAAGGAAAUACGCACCCUUCAUCCACCGGCAGGUUUCACACGUACACCCCGUCCACAGAGCGCACGCUCCUUCACGACUCAUCCUGUACCGGCGCUACACAGGCGGUGACGAUGCCCGGUGUUUCAACCAGUCCGCCGCUGCCGUCCCCUGAAGACCGCGUCUUCGUCAACGCACAAGGCGAGCGCUUUCACUGCACCACCUUCGCGCCGUCAUCGUCGUGUGUGCCACCCAACUCGGCCCAUGAUGCACGGACCCCGCUUCUCUUGUGCGUGCAUGGCGCCGGUAUGAGCGGUGACUGCUUUUUGCGCAUGGCGCGAGAGAUUCAGCGACACGCCGACAAGCCCGGUGACGUAGCGGCGUACACCUCUUCACCACCGCGUGCGAGUGAUGUGCCCCUGAUGCCGCCUUCCGCACAUGCGGCGACAGCGACAAAUGCGGAGGCGCAGGGCGAUGACGUGGACAUGCACGUCAUGACAUACGACCAGCGCUGCCACGGCCGGUCCACCUUUGCCGGCGGCGAAGAUCAUCUCUCGAUCGAGGUGCUGAUGCGCGACUUUUUGGACGUGCUCCACUAUGCCAAGACUGAACUGUACCCCACCAGCAAUGUCUACGUCCUCGGCCAUUCGCUUGGCGGCGCCGUCGUGGCGCGUGCGCUGAGCGGAAACAAGUCCGCCCUCGAGCGUGUUUCGGGCGUGCUUCUUGUAGACGUGGUCGAGGGAACGGCGCAGCUGUCGUUGCAGCACAUGAAAUCGUUUCUCAAGAAUCGCCCCAACACGUUUCCCGAGGUGAAGGACGCCGAGGUCUGGUUCCUGCGCAUGGGUGGCAUGCAGAACCCGCAAGGCGCCGAAGUUUCCGUGCCGCCGCUUUUGCAGCAAAAUGACAAAACAGGCCUGUGGCAGUGGCGGACGGACAUCCGCAAGAUGGAGAGCGUCUGGGACGGGUGGUUCGCCGGCCUCGAUGAGGCAUUCAUUUCGCUGCCGUGCGCCAAGAUGCUGUGCACUGCGAACGCGGAACGGCUCGACAAGACACUCACGGUCGCGCAGAUGCAGGGCAAGUUCCAGUUCGAGGUGAUUGGCAACGGGUGCGGCCACUACGUCAUGGACGACGCGACGUCGACAGUCGUCGCCAAGGUGCGGCGCUUCGUGAAGCGCAACGAGGUGUUGACGCAGAAGCUGCAGCUCAUGAACAAGAACCUGUCUGGCCAGAAGAACAAUACGACGGUUCCGCCAAACCGCAUGUAGGCAACAACGACCGCUGUUGCGCCACACCUACGCGCUUAUCCACAAGAGCGCAAAACUCACCGCGCGGAAGCGAGAGAUGGAAAGGGACAGGGCACGGCGGCAGCAACAGCGCCGAAUACAUGGUGCAAAGGCUUUUACGUACGUGCGACGUUUGUGCUCAGGUUCUCCCGAUUUUGCCGCACACGCGGUACAUCUUAGAUGUGACGCACAUGCUCUCCUCCAGCGGAAAUAAUGCUUGCUUUGCCUGCGUGCCUGUUUUGAUUGGAGACCGUGCAGGGCCCUCCCUGCCCCUCACACGGACGCGCACGCGCAAAGAGAAGGCCUGCAGCCCUGUGCAUACAUCCCGCGUCUUGCGUGAUGCUCGUAAAUCCUCCUCUCUACAUAACAUGACGCCAAGAGAAGAUGCCACACUGAUCGCGUGCGCGCAUAUGUGCAACCUCGACCUGGGCUCUGGCUUCCCUUCUGCAGGGCGUGAGGACGAUCGGGCAAAGGCGGCGGGUGUCGCAUUCGGCUUUCCCUCGUUUUCCUCGGUCGUCCUCUUUUCCGCACCGUCGCACGGCUGACGAAGCACGCGGCGUUCACAUUCCGCGUUCCUCGCUGUGAAUCAGCAAUCCAUUCUCACCCUUCGUACCUCACAUUCUGCCCACGCUUCUCUUUCGUGUGUGUGCGUGCUCUCCAUGGCCCACGCCCUCUCCUCCUCGCGAUGCACACGCUUACGUGUGCUGGCGCCGUGUGCUCCGAAUGCCCACGCUCGACAUGGUUCACGCUUUCCUUCUCCCCUCUCUCUCACUCGCUGCCCGUGCACGUCCAUUCAG
This 2058-nucleotide unclassified non-coding RNA is filed under the name Leishmania donovani. RNAcentral describes it as "gene:LdHU3.32.1250(CDS-product:Alpha/beta_hydrola se_family_putative)". Lineage: Eukaryota; Euglenozoa; Kinetoplastea; Trypanosomatida; Trypanosomatidae. The record is from RNAcentral.